Musa acuminata AAA Group (dessert banana) is the source of this 974-nucleotide long non-coding RNA. RefSeq lists it as uncharacterized. The transcript is spliced from 2 exons. The record is from RefSeq and is a predicted model, not a curated record. NCBI's taxonomy places the organism in Eukaryota, Viridiplantae, Streptophyta, Magnoliopsida, Zingiberales, Musaceae.
CCUCCCUCAAUUAUAAGCGGCUGGCCGGAUGCUGCGGUCGUCCGUCCGCUCCUCUGCGUUCUUUCGUUUCGUUCAGUUUUAUUUUCUGACUUAUCGACCUGUUGAACAAGCACUUUGUGCGAGCACUGAUUUCUUACCCGUCACGGAUUGCUUCUCCGCGAUUGCGUCGCCGAUGGGACCCACCGUCGCGCCUAUCUGUGAGAGGGCGAACGACCGCGGUUUUCCGUUUGUGAGUAAUGCAUUGCUUACCCUUCCGGGGCUGCGAUUGGUCUUCGUUGGGACCCACGGUCCUUCGACUCUGCGGACGUCACUUGGGACUCUUCAUCUCGAGGGCUCGCUGGGUAACCGCCUCCGUAUACGCGUCAUGCAACGUGUACUUACCGUCCACAUUCUUGGUGAGUCGUUCCCAGCAUAUACGCUGUUCGUCGCGCUACUGAGCCACGCUGGCGGUGACCAGACACCGACUCCAAUCUCGCGCUUCAGAAGCGUAACCAAUCUUCUUCUUUCCUUCCCCUCUCUCUCCGUCUCUCAAUCUUCUUCUUCUCCUGGUUUCCUAACCCUCUCUUUCCCACCACCUUCUCUCUCUAUCCUUCUUAGACGACGUCCGUUGGCGGCGAUCUCCAUAAUCGAGAUUAUGCCGUCUCUGGUUUUUGGAUGAAGACCGGGGCAGGACGAAACACGCCAAAGAUCCUCGUGCCAAAGCGGCCGCUGUAUUCUUUAAAGAGCAAGAACGGCCCACAGCCAUGAGGAAGUUGCACAAGAAUGACCUCGGAGGAGCAACUUUUGGCUGCAAGGGCAUGACGGUAGAAUGGUGCCUUGCCUUCCAAUGCAAUUGUGUGGUGAGUGACUGACCCAUAGCAAUUUUCAUUUUAGUUGCUUCUUUCUCUAGUAUUAGACGUCAAAAUUGGCUUUAGGGCUAUAUAAUUUGUCCAUGCUUCUAAUGACAUAUAUGGUUUCUUGUUGAUUCUGUUUAA